RNAcentral lists this ribosomal RNA (460 nucleotides) under Veillonella parvula. RNAcentral describes it as "bacterial SSU rRNA". It matches the Rfam family "Bacterial small subunit ribosomal RNA", at positions 28 to 466 of the family's 1533-position model. The record is from RNAcentral. Lineage: Bacteria; Bacillati; Bacillota; Negativicutes; Veillonellales; Veillonellaceae.
GACGAACGCUGGCGGCGUGCUUAACACAUGCAAGUCGAAGAAGAGCGAUGGAAGCUGCUUCUAUCAAUCUUAGUGGCGAACGGGUGAGUAACGCGUAAUCAACCUGCCCUUCAGAGGGGGACAACAGUUGGAAACGACUGCUAAUACCGCAUACGAUCUAAUCUCGGCAUCGAGGAUAGAUGAAAGGUGGCCUCUACAUGUAAGCUAUCACUGAAGGAGGGGAUUGCGUCUGAUUAGCUAGUUGGAGGGGUAACGGCCCACCAAGGCGAUGAUCAGUAGCCGGUUGAGAGGAUGAACGGCCACAUUGGGACUGAGACACGGCCCAGACUCCUACGGGAGGCAGCAGUGGGGAAUCUUCCGCAAUGGACGAAAGUCUGACGGAGCAACGCCGCGUGAGUGAUGACGGCCUUCGGGUUGUAAAGCUCUGUUAAUCGGGACGAAAGGCCUUGCUUGCGAAUUG